This 645-nucleotide long non-coding RNA is filed under the name Panax ginseng (ginseng). Its description in RNAcentral is "long non-coding RNA (PGIN_LNC004279)". The record is from RNAcentral. Lineage: Eukaryota; Viridiplantae; Streptophyta; Magnoliopsida; Apiales; Araliaceae.
ACACUAUUCCCCAAGGUCGAGUAACCUUAACUUAUACACAUUUCAUAAACUAUUUAUUACAUAACAAUAUUUAUCACAAUACGCUAUUACAAACUAGCUGCACUUUAUAACCCAAGCUGAACUUGGCAUUAUCUUUUCCUGUAUCCGAAUGCAUUUGCCCUUAUCUGCAAUGUUUUAUCAUGAUAUAGCAAGGGUGAGCAUGAAAGUUGCCCAGCAAGUUUAAAUACAACAAUAUAAGGAUAUAUCAUGAUUGAAGAGUAUGAAUAAUGAGCUGGCUAUAAUUCAUCAAUAUAAUUGAGAACUAGCAGGAACAAACUUUUGACUGAACAAGUUUUAAACAUGAACAAACAUUUCUGAACCAACUGGUAAUGAAGGUGAUCAGCCUUUCAUACCUGACUUAUACAUGCAAGAUGUACAGAGUACAAUUUUCAUGGCAAUCAGCAAUGAUUAACCAUAAGCUUGAAUAAAACACUCUUAUUAGAGUUAAGUAAGAACAAACUUGCCUGAACCGUUGAUUACCGCAACGCAAUUUAUAUCGCUUUACCCGAAGACCUAAUAUUAAUAAUAUAGAUCUCCAAUAUUAGAAUCACAGUAUAAUUCUGUUAUAUUUAAAUACAAAGAAUAACCUAAACACAUAACACAUAA